ACACGACUACAUUAGAUACCCCCGUAGUCCUAGCCGUAAACGAUACUCGCUAGGUGUCGGCCACGGUGCGACCGUUGUCGGUGCCGUAGGGAAGCCGUGAAGCGAGCCACCUGGGAAGUACGGCCGCAAGGCUGAAACUUAAAGGAACUGGCGGGGGAGUACCACAAGAGGUGGAGGCUGCGGUUCAAUUGGACUCAACGCCGGAAAACUCAUCGGGAGCGACAGCAGUAUGAUUGCCAGGUUGAUGACCUUGCUUGACAAGCUG
Molecule: ribosomal RNA, 265 nt
Filed under: uncultured archaeon
Lineage: Archaea
Description: partial 16S ribosomal RNA
Rfam family: Archaeal small subunit ribosomal RNA
Source: RNAcentral